CACCAAUCAAGCCUGGCUUGGUGUUGGGCCCCGGGGAGACCCGGGCCCCAAAGUUCGCCGGCCGGACGUCCCGGAUCUCAGCGUUGUGGCAUCAAAACCCGCGGAGAGAUGGGGCGGCCGUGCCGUCACAAAACCCACUUUCAUGAAA
This 148-nucleotide unclassified non-coding RNA is filed under the name uncultured Capnodiales. Its description in RNAcentral is "sequence contains ITS2". Lineage: Eukaryota; Fungi; Ascomycota; Dothideomycetes; Capnodiales. The record is from RNAcentral.